RNAcentral lists this ribosomal RNA (305 nucleotides) under uncultured bacterium. RNAcentral describes it as "bacterial SSU rRNA". It matches the Rfam family "Bacterial small subunit ribosomal RNA", at positions 334 to 637 of the family's 1533-position model. The record is from RNAcentral.
GGAUCCUCGGGAGGCAGCAGUGAGGAAUAUUGGUCAAUGGGCUUACGCCUGAACCAGCCAAGUCGCGUGAGGGAAGACUGCCCUAUGGGUUGUAAACCUCUUUUGUCAGGGAGCAACGCCGGCUACGUGUAGCCGGACUGAGAGUACCUGAAGAAAAAGCAUCGGCUAACUCCGUGCCAGCAGCCGCGGUAAUACGAAGGAUGCGAGCGUUAUCCGGAUUUAUUGGGUUUAAAGGGUGCGCAGGCGGAUUUUUAAGUCAGCGGUAAAAUGUCGGGGCUCAACCCCGGCCGGCCGUUGAAACUGGU